CAGCUGGACCAGGUGGAUCAUAAACAUGUAUGAAGCGUGUACCUGUGUCAAAGUGCAGCACAUACAGAAAUGUGCAGGACUGUUGGUCUGCACAGGAUCCAUACUGUGUCUGGUGCGGCUCUAAAAGAAGUUGCACAUUUGAAGACGAAUGCCAAGAUUCAGACUGGUUAUCCAUUCCUGAUGACUCUCAAAAGACAAUGGUUUCAUAAAA
Molecule: long non-coding RNA, 211 nt
Organism: Dicentrarchus labrax (European seabass)
Lineage: Eukaryota; Metazoa; Chordata; Actinopteri; Moronidae
Exons: 3
Source: RefSeq, a predicted model, not a curated record